CACAUGCAAGUCGAACGGAGCUGCUUUGAUGAAGUUUUCGGAUGGAUUUAAAACAGCUUAGUGGCGGACGGGUGAGUAACGCGUGGGUAACCUGCCUCACACUGGGGGAUAACAGUUAGAAAUAGCUGCUAAUACCGCAUAAGCGCACAGUUCCGCAUGGAACAGUGUGAAAAACUCCGGUGGUGUGAGAUGGACCCGCGUCUGAUUAGCCAGUUGGCGGGGUAACGGCCCACCAAAGCGACGAUCAGUAGCCGGCCUGAGAGGGUGAACGGCCACAUUGGGCUGAGACACGGCCCAAACUCCUACGGGAGGCAGCAGUGGGGAAUAUUGCACAAUGGGGGAAACCCUGAUGCAGCGACGCCGCGUGAGUGAAGAAGUAUUUCGGUAUGUAAAGCUCUAUCAGCAGGGAAGAAAGUGACGGUACCUGAAUAAGAAGCCCCGGCUAACUACGUGCCAGCAGCCGCGGUAAUACGUAGGGGGCAAGCGUUAUCCGGAUUUACUGGGUGUAAAGGGAGCGUAGACGGCAAGGCAAGUCUGAAGUGAAAGCCCGGUGCUUAACGCCGGGACUGCUUUGGAAACUGUUUAGCUGGAGUGCCGGAGAGGUAAGCGGAAUUCCUAGUGUAGCGGUGAAAUGCGUAGAUAUUAGGAAGAACACCAGUGGCGAAGGCGGCUUACUGGACGGUAACUGACGUUGAGGCUCGAAAGCGUGGGGAGCAAACAGG
This 722-nucleotide ribosomal RNA is filed under the name uncultured bacterium. Its description in RNAcentral is "bacterial SSU rRNA". It matches the Rfam family "Bacterial small subunit ribosomal RNA", at positions 52 to 776 of the family's 1533-position model. The record is from RNAcentral.